Molecule: ribosomal RNA, 503 nt
Filed under: uncultured bacterium
Lineage: Bacteria
Description: partial 16S ribosomal RNA
Rfam family: Bacterial small subunit ribosomal RNA
Source: RNAcentral
AUUGAACGCUGGCGGCAGGCUUAACACAUGCAAGUCGAGCGGAGUGAUGGUGCUUGCACUAUCACUUAGCGGCGGACGGGUGAGUAAUGCUUAGGAAUCUGCCUAUUAGUGGGGGACAACAUCUCGAAAGGGAUGCUAAUACCGCAUACGUCCUACGGGAGAAAGCAGGGGAUCACUUGUGACCUUGCGCUAAUAGAUGAGCCUAGGUUGGAUUAGCUAGUUGGUGGGGGGAAGGCCUACCAAGGCGACGAUCUGUAGCGGGUCUGAGAGGAUGAUCCGCCACACUGGGACUGAGACACGGCCCAGACUCCUACGGGAGGCAGCAGUGGGGAAUAUUGGACAAUGGGGGGACACCUGAUCCAGCCAUGCCGCGUGUGUGAAGAAGGCCUUAUGGUUGUAAAGCACUUUAAGCGAGGAGGAGGCUCUUUUGGUUAAUACCCAAGAUGAGUGGACGUUACUCGCAGAGUAAGCACCGGCUAACUCUGUGCCAGCCGCCGCAGUAA